UUGUAUGUAACACCAGCUACGGCUUCUUCACUGUUCUUCAUUCUUGAUUUCUCCAAGAAAUCGAAAUUUGUUCCUUGGAGAUGGUUUUACACAAAAAGCUUUCUACUUGCUGUAUAUCUCAUGAGUUCUAUAAAGUUGCUACGAACAACCCCAACAAGAUUGCAGUCAUUCAAGCUUGUGGGGGUCUCAAAAUCGCCAAAGAAUUUCGACUUUCUUGCAGUGAAAAUGGCGACCAAGACAACCGGGAGAAGUUUCAAGAGUUUGUUUCUUCUAAAAUGAAGUCGGUUAAUCCCCCGAUAUACGAAGGUGAUCAGUGCUUCACGUUUUCCGAGAUAUUGUCCGCCGUUGAUUCUCUUAGUUCACGGCUCCGAUGCAUUCUUGAUGGUGGUGAUGACCCCAAUCUAAUAAAUUCCUCUGCAGUAGUUAAUAUUCAUCAAACUGCAAACGACUGCAGUUCCAAGGACCAGUUACUUCUGGGGUCUUCUGAUCGAGGUUUGGAGCAGUAUACACAGUUCCAUAAAACAUAUAUCCCAAGAGUAGUUGGAAUAUAUAUGGAACCUUCAGUUGAGUACAUUGUUUCUGUUUUAUCGGUUUUGAGGUGCGGAGAAGCAUUUAUGCCGUUAGAUCCAUCAUGGCCAAACGAAAGGAUAUUAUCGGUAAUAUCUUCUUCAAAAGCUGAUCUUAUUGUGGGCUAUAAAUCUUCAGUUGACAGACCUUGUCACCAGCUUGAUAAAUUACGAUGGCUCAUUCAUAAAGGCAGUUAUCCCCUUUUUUAUAUGUCAAUAGAGAAUGUCAUGCGAAAAAAAUCUGACUCAUCGUUAGCCUGGCCUUGUGAAAGUGAAAGGUUGAGAUCAUUCUGCUACUUGAUGUACACAUCUGGAUCCACUGGAAUACCCAAGGGGGUAUGUGGUACUGAAGUAGGUCUUCUGAACCGCUUCUUGUGGAUGCAAGGAUCAUUUCCCUUUCAAAAAGAAGAAAUCCUUCUUUUCAAAACAUCCAUAAGCUUCAUUGACCAUUUGCAAGAAUUUUUAGGAGCUAUACUUGCUAAUUGUACGUUGAUCAUACCUCCUUUCAAUCAGCUGAAGGACAAUAUAUUUUUAGUAGUCAAUCUCUCACAGGAAUAUUCUAUUAGCAGGCUUGUGGCAGUUCCAUCUUUUAUAAGGGCGAUUCUUCCUGCUUUGCAUAGCAUGCAUUAUCCUACAGCUCAGAUCUCCUUAAAACUUCUAGUGCUAAGUGGUGAAAUUUUUGAUAUUUCUCUGUGGAAGAUGCUGGUCAAGUUGCUACCGGAGACUACUGUUCUUAAUAUAUAUGGAAGCACAGAGGUUUCCGGUGACUGCACAUAUUUCGACUGCAAGUGGUUGCCCACAAUGUUGGAGCAAGAUGCUCUGGACAGUGUUCCAAUUGGCAUUCCUAUUGACAACUGUGAAGUGGUUCUUAUUGGGGAAAAUUCUCUUGAUGAGGGAGAGAUAUGUGUCAGUGGAAGUUGUGUUGCUUCUGGAUACUUCAUUCAUCCUUCUAUUUUGUCACUGGAUAACGUGGAAUUACAUCAAGAAAUAACUGAUGGCAAGAAGGAUGAAAAUGAAGUUUACUUUAGAACCGGGGAUUUCAGCAGAAAGCUUUCAGAUGGAAACCUGGUUUAUAUUGGGAGAAGAGACCGCACAGUAAAGAUCUGCGGGCACCGUAUUGCCUUAGAGGAGGUCGAAAGCAUUCUGAGGGAACAUCAAGAAGUAGCUGAUUCUGCUGUGGUUUCUCGUUGCGUUCAAGGAGAUAUUUUAUUUCUUGAGGCAUAUUUACUGCUCAAGCAAAAGGAAAACAAUCUUGAGGUCUUCAAGUCCACAAUUAGAUGCUGGAUGGCCAGCAAACUUCCCCCAACUAUGAUUCCUGCUCGUUUCUACUUUGUUGAAUCUUUUCCUAGGUCUUCUUCAGGGAAAGUAGAUUACAAGAUGUUGGCCACUUUUGCAGCGUCUGAGGCAGGUAACCGUAUUGCGAUUGAAGAAACUCAAGAUAUCGAUCUCGUUAAUGUUAUACAAAAGACUUUUGCUGAUGCUCUUAUGGUUGUUGACAAGAUCUCCCUUGAUGAUGACUUCUUUGAGAUCGGUGGCAAUUCUCUAUUAGCAGCUCAUGUCUCCUAUAAUCUAGGAAUCAAUAUGAAGGACUUGUAUGCUUUUCCAACUCCAUUGAAACUUCAGAAGGCCAUUCAACUUAAAAAAGUGUCCUCUAGCCGUGAACUUAGAGCUGAUGCUUUAGUGGGAGUGAACUCGCAAGAGCAAGAGAAAAGCAAGCUUCCUUCUAAUAAAUCUUGGAUGCCUGGUGCAGAUAACAGUACCGCUUUGAGUUUGACCAGUGAUUAUCCCGUUAAACGUUUGAAAACAGAUUCAGAUUUGUAUAUUGAUUCCAACGAUGCUAAUGGAAGAGAUAUGAAUAAUUCAACUUCUUCACAGGUUUCAUGUUCUUACAGUCGGUGCAACAAAAUAAGGCAUGAUGCUGGUUGUGAGGGUUACAAUUGCCACUCGAUGCUGUCUUGGGAAGUUCCACGUGAUAAAAGAGGUUUCAUGCGAGAACAGUGGAUGGUCAACAUGGAAUCUUGCGUUGAUGCAUCACCACUAGUUGUAUUUAAAGAAAGAAGUGUGUAUCUGCUUAUCGGAGCUCACUCCCACAAAUUCUAUUGCAUUGAUGCAACAAGUGGUCUUGUUUUGUGGGAGAUCAAAUUACAAGGGCGUGUUGAGAGUUCUGCAGCAAUUCUAGAUGAUUUUUCUCAGGUUAUUGUCGGAUGCUAUGAUGGGAACAUUUAUUUUCUGAAUUUUUCAAAUGGUAUCCCUUGUUGGAAUUUUCAAACACACGGAGAGGUAAAAUCACAGCCAGUCAUUGACAAGAAGAGGCACUUGGUCUGGUGUGGGUCGCAUGACCACAAUCUCUAUGCCCUUGAUUAUGAGAAUCACUGCUGUGCUUACAAAAUUCAAUGCGGCGGUAGCAUAUUCGGUUCACCUGCACUUGAUGAGGUGCAAGAAAAACUCUAUGUGGCAUCCACUAGUGGCAGAGUAACAGCACUAUUUGUUGGGGCUCCGCCAUUUGGUCAAUUAUGGGUACAAGAGUUUGGAGUUCCUAUUUUUGGGUCACUUUCAGUCAAUCCUCCAUCUGGAAAUGUUAUAUGUUGCAUGGUGGAUGGAAAUGUUGUUGCGCUGGAUACUGAGGGAUCUGUUGUCUGGAAGGUGAGUACAACUGGCCCAAUAUUUGCUGGGCCCUGCAUAUCUCAUGCGCUAUCUUUACAGGUGCUUGUUUGCUCAAGAGAUGGCAGUGUCUACUCCUUUGAUUUGAAUUCAUCCUAUGCUAACGGGGCAUUCUCCUUACCAAUUGUGUACAAUAUCCGGAAGAAGUUCUUUCUCAGUCUUUAAGGUGCUUGAAGACCAAAUUUUGGCUGUUCUGUCCAACUGUCAGGAAAAGUUUCUUAAUCUCUAUCUUUUCCUCAUUUGUCUCAUCUUUCUCAAAAUUCACCUGCACAUCAGCCGUUCUUGAGUUUUAUUCUUGUUACAGGAAUACAUGUAUUCUGCUUUUAACCUUAAGCUUCAAUGUUGGGUACUUUUGGGUUGUUGAAUUCAUACAAUAAAAGUGGCUUUUUUCAUUUACCUGGUUGAUAUUAAUUAAGAUGCACUAUUCCAAAAUUAAAUAAGGUAUAUGUCAGCCUAGGAAGUAAACACGUCGAACUUCCAAGUAUUUAUACCGCGAGAAACUCGUAGAAGACGAAACCUCCUUUUCCUUCUAUGCAAUCAGGCACUAAAUUGAAGAGGAACAUGGAAGUUCACUGCUAGAGUUAGACAUUGCAUAUUGCCUGCUUUCUUUUAGAACUUCAAACCUUUUUUUUUGUGAGGAAGGUAACAAUUGUAUUCCUAUUAAACACAAUUUCGUUCUUAAAUCAUAGUUAGUUCUUUAAACCUCUUGUAGUUAUUAGUUAAUCUAUAGUUUUUAUUAAAACUUAUAAAAUUGACGAAGUGUAUAAUUUGUAUUUCUGUCUGUAGUUAUAUAAUUGUGUCAUGCACGCCAAAUUGCAAUUUUUUUUCCGACUUUUCUUCUUUGCCUCCCUGUCCAACACGAGAAUUGUGUCUGUGUCUACCCUACAUAGUUAUCAUGCUCCAACAUUAAUACUCUUCCUCUUUUCAAAGUAUGUUUGUUGAUGAUCCUAGUGGUACCUUGAAAUUCUGCUAAACUAGACUUAGAAAGGAUCUUGCUUGUAUCAAGAAAUCUCUUUAUUUUGAGUUUGAACUUUCAAGAUAAAGAACCUAUUUUAUUUUUCAAAAUAUAGUUAUAUAUUUCUAAUUCAGCGCUACUCCUCAAAUUGGUAUCAGCAAUCAUGUCCAACAUGCUGACAAGAUUCGUGAGAGUAUUUGGUAUUUGUUGUAACAUAGGAACAAAUGACAUACAAUACCAUGCAGAUUCUACCUUCUCUUUAUGAAAUUCUGUCAAUAUCAAUAUGCUUAGCUUUGUCAUGUUGAACCAGAGUGUCUGUGAUAAUACUAAUGACUAUCUUGUUGUCUUAUUACAAUUUCAUAGGCUAGUCAUAUUAUGUCACAAGCACUUUCAGCCAUCUAUUGUAUUGCUGUGAGAUCUCUUGUUUUUCCAUGUUACUACAUUGUGCCAUACAAAUGUUCAGUACCCUUAUGUUGAAUACUUGUCAAUAUUGGUCCUGCCAGUCUGCGGACUGCAUCUGUGUACAUCAGUCAUUUUUUAAAAAACAAAUCCUUAACAGAGAUGUUUACAUAUCUUUUAAUAAAAUAUACUCUUUCGAGAUUCUCUUUUUGAGGAGAAUGCAUGCAAAUGCAAUAAUAGGUCGUUUGUGUGAAAAGUGAAUUAGCUUACCUACAGGUUUCUGCCACCGUCUUACCUAGAUGUGUUCACAGGUUCUCUAUUUUUGUCUCUGUUAAAUUGUGUGAUCAUCUCAUCUAAGUAGAAGUCGUCCUUGGAGUAAAAGAAAACUGAAGGUAAACAAAUCAAGGCUAAAUUACUAGCCUCCUGUCUUGUUCUAGAUCUUCCUGAUUAUGGGUUGGUGAUGCAUAUCAUUCAAGUUGUAUCAGCGGAUGAUGAUCUAAGCUAUUAUUAGAGAUGCCAGGCUGACAUUGACCUUUAGACCUGACCAAGAGAAAUGAGGUUUCAUGUUCUGCUAGGAAAAGGGUGAUUUAUUCUGGAAGCAUGAUGUUGGACAUCCAAUUACUUCAUCUGCCUACGUUGAUGAACACUUGCUAUUGGCAUGUCCUGAUUCUUCCCUGUCUCAAAGGUUAGUGUGUGUUUGUUCCAGUUCUGGAAGUGUACAUGUUCUUCAAGUCAGCUUGAAUUUUGACGGAGAAAAUCAACCAUGUGAUAUGGUGCGGGAAUUUGCUAGGUUUGAACUUGGAGGAGACGUCUUUUCCUCCCCUGUGAUGAUUGGUGGGGAUAUAUUUGUUGGUUGCAGGGAUGACUACAUGCACUGUAUUAGACUCCAAGAAAUACCGAUAUGAACCUAUUACAUCUUAUAACACAUGCUCAAUCUAUGGGAGUAUAAAACUCCUCAAUAUUGAAGCAUCUAUUAUUGGCAAAGGAGUUUCCUGCGAGUUAUCUGGUCAUUGCACGACAGAAGAAUCAAGAGCCUCCUUCUAAUGCUGCAAUUGCUAUGAUGAACUUUGAGAAAAGAUUGGAUGCAGUGUGGAUUUUGGUGCACUGUGAGAUUUUUGUCAACAGGCUAAAUGUCUCUCUUUGCAAAGGAAGCUUAUUUUUCCUUAUAUCACCAAGAUUGGAACUUAGGAGAGAUAACAACAACGAUGUAUACCCACUGUACUCUCACAAGUGGGGUUCGGAGAUCAUGAUGUGUAUACAGUCUUAUUCCUACCUUGUGAAGGCGGAACUAAGGAGAUACUUGAUGCAAUAUCGGACUAAAUAGUCAAUCAAGUCUUUUUCAACUGAUACUCUCUCUCAGCCAGCUUCAAGAUGACAAAAGGAAGCUCCAGUUUAAGCCUGAUGAUUGCUUCUUUGCUGAGACAAUUUUAAUUUAUACUGUUCUGGCAGCACUAAAUAACAAUCGAGUUCUAUCCAACUUCAUUUGGAUAGUCGUUAUAUAUUGUUUCAUAAACGUAUGGUAUCAUAUUAGAUUGUGUUGUAUUGUAAUGUUUUGAUGAACAUAAUGUUUAGACAGAUUGUAUUGUUGAUCACCAUUACAUAAUGUAACACGAGCAAUUUGUAGAGUAGGAUACGAUAACAAGGCAGGAUAAAUGAUGGAAUAGAAUUAUCAUCCUUUGUUCGA
Molecule: non-coding RNA, 6265 nt
Organism: Solanum lycopersicum (tomato)
Lineage: Eukaryota; Viridiplantae; Streptophyta; Magnoliopsida; Solanales; Solanaceae
Source: RefSeq, a predicted model, not a curated record